This 483-nucleotide ribosomal RNA is filed under the name uncultured bacterium. RNAcentral's name for it is "bacterial SSU rRNA". It matches the Rfam family "Bacterial small subunit ribosomal RNA", at positions 30 to 505 of the family's 1533-position model. The record is from RNAcentral.
AUUGAACGCUGGCGGCAUGCCUUACACAUGCAAGUCGAACGGCAGCACGGGAGCAAUCCUGGUGGCGAGUGGCGAACGGGUGAGUAAUAUAUCGGAACGUGCCCAGUCGUGGGGGAUAACGUAGCGAAAGCUACGCUAAUACCGCAUACGAUCUAUGGAUGAAAGCGGGGGAUCGCAAGACCUCGCGCGAUUGGAGCGGCCGAUAUCAGAUUAGGUAGUUGGUGAGGUAAAGGCUCACCAAGCCGACGAUCUGUAGCUGGUCUGAGAGGACGACCAGCCACACUGGGACUGAGACACGGCCCAGACUCCUACGGGAGGCAGCAGUGGGGAAUUUUGGACAAUGGGCGCAAGCCUGAUCCAGCAAUGCCGCGUGCAGGAUGAAGGCCUUCGGGUUGUAAACUGCUUUUGUACGGUAACGAAACGGUGAGCUCUAAUACAGUUUGCUAAUGACGGUACCGUAAGAAUAAGCACCGGCUAACUACG